ACGGAAGGCAGCAGUGGGGAAUAUUGGACAAUGGGCGAAAGCCUGAUCCAGCGACGCCGCGUGAGUGAAGAAGUAUUUCGGUAUGCAAAGCUCUAUCAGCAGGGAAGAUAAUGACGGUACCUGACUAAGAAGCCCCGGCUAACUACGUGCCAGCAGCCGCGGUAAUACGUAGGGGGCAAGCGUUAUCCGGAUUUACUGGGUGUAAAGGGAGCGUAGACGGCAUGGCAAGUCUGGUGUGAAAGCCCAGGGCUCAACCCUGGGACUGCAUUGGAAACUGUCAAGCUAGAGUGCAGGAGAGGUAAGUGGAAUUCCUAGUGUAGCGGUGAAAUGCGUAGAUAUUAGGAGGAACACCAGUGGCGAAGGCGGCUUACUGGACUGUAACUGACGUUGAGGCUCGAAAGCGUGGGGAGCAAACAGGAUUAGAUACCCUGGUA
This 434-nucleotide ribosomal RNA is filed under the name uncultured Lachnospiraceae bacterium. Its description in RNAcentral is "partial 16S ribosomal RNA". It matches the Rfam family "Bacterial small subunit ribosomal RNA", at positions 341 to 792 of the family's 1533-position model. The record is from RNAcentral. Lineage: Bacteria; Bacillati; Bacillota; Clostridia; Lachnospirales; Lachnospiraceae.